This 463-nucleotide ribosomal RNA is filed under the name uncultured bacterium. Its description in RNAcentral is "bacterial SSU rRNA". It matches the Rfam family "Bacterial small subunit ribosomal RNA", at positions 328 to 803 of the family's 1533-position model. The record is from RNAcentral.
CUACGGAACUCCUACGGGAGGCAGCAGUGGGGAAUAUUGCACAAUGGGCGAAAGCCUGAUGCAGCGACGCCGCGUGAGGGAUGACGGCCUUCGGGUUGUAAACCUCUUUCAGUAGGGAAGAAGCGAGAGUGACGGUACCUGCAGAAGAAGCGCCGGCUAACUACGUGCCAGCAGCCGCGGUAAUACGUAGGGCGCAAGCGUUGUCCGGAAUUAUUGGGCGUAAAGAGCUUGUAGGUGGUUGGUCACGUCUGCUGUGGAAACGCAACGCUUAACGUUGCGCGUGCAGUGGGUACGGGCUGACUAGAGUGCAGUAGGGGAGUCUGGAAUUCCUGGUGUAGCGGUGAAAUGCGCAGAUAUCAGGAGGAACACCGGUGGCGAAGGCGGGACUCUGGGCUGUAACUGACACUGAGGAGCGAAAGCAUGAGGAGCGAACAGGAUUAGAUACCCGAGUAGUCCUCUUCGA